This 390-nucleotide long non-coding RNA is filed under the name Capra hircus (goat). RNAcentral describes it as "lncRNA (ENSCHIG00000001099.1)". Lineage: Eukaryota; Metazoa; Chordata; Mammalia; Artiodactyla; Bovidae. The record is from RNAcentral.
CCCAUGAUGCACUGCUGCACUCGCUGCCCCAGCCCUGCAGCAGGCCACCUCCGACCCACACCUCCGCUGGAGACCCCUGGACGCCCACGGGCAAGUCUGGUCAGCCUCUCGUGGGCUCACUGCUCCUUUCUCCUGGGUCUCGGUGCCCACAAGCUAUGUUUGAGCCCUCUGAGCGUCUCUGGGAAGAGUUCUUCAUUUCGUGACUAGCCUGAAAGCUCUUAACUGAGAGCGGCUGUGUUUCGCUGCAUCUCUCUGGGCUCGUCUAGUGACAAACGCGUGACCCUGCCGUCUCUGCAGCGUGCGCAGUCGCCGCCCCUCGGUCGUGUCCAAAGUCUCCUCUGUCCGUGAGAUUCUCCAGGCCAGGAUACUGGAGUGGGUUGCCAUUCCCUC